GCAAACUUGGUCAUUUAGAGGAAGUAAAAGUCGUAACAAGGUUUCCGUAGGUGAACCUGCGGAAGGAUCAUUAUUGAAUUUAAACAAAGGGAAAUUUAGGUUGUAGCUGGCUCCAUUAAUUUGGAGCAUGUGCACGCCUUGUACUCUUUUUUAAUCCACACACACCUGUGAACCUGUGAGGCAGAGACAUGGAUGGGAAAACUUUCAUUUAUUUUAAAUUAAUGAUUGGGACCCCUACCCACCUCUGUCUACUCAACUCUAAUAUAAACCCAAUUUAUUUUAAAACGAAUGUAAUGGAUGUAACGCAUCUAAUACUAAGUUUCAACAACGGAUCUCUUGGCUCUCGCAUCGAUGAAGAACGCAGC
This 365-nucleotide unclassified non-coding RNA is filed under the name uncultured fungus. RNAcentral's name for it is "partial contains small subunit ribosomal RNA, internal transcribed spacer 1, and 5.8S ribosomal RNA". The stretch from base 1 to 73 matches the Rfam family "Eukaryotic small subunit ribosomal RNA", at positions 1759 to 1831 of the family's 1831-position model. Lineage: Eukaryota; Fungi. The record is from RNAcentral.